GAUGAACGCUGGCGGCGUGCCUAAUACAUGCAAGUCGAGCGAACGGACGAGAAGCUUGCUUCUCUGAUGUUAGCGGCGGACGGGUGAGUAACACGUGGAUAACCUACCUAUAAGACUGGGAUAACUUCGGGAAACCGGAGCUAAUACCGGAUAAUAUUUUGAACCGCAUGGUUCAAAAGUGAAAGACGGUCUUGCUGUCACUUAUAGAUGGAUCCGCGCUGCAUUAGCUAGUUGGUAAGGUAACGGCUUACCAAGGCAACGAUGCAUAGCCGACCUGAGAGGGUGAUCGGCCACACUGGAACUGAGACACGGUCCAGACUCCUACGGGAGGCAGCAGUAGGGAAUUUUCGGCAAUGGGCGAAAGCCUGACGGAGCAACGCCGCGUGAGUGAUGAAGGUCUUCGGAUCGUAAAGCUCUGUUAUUAGGGAAGAACAUAUGUGUAAGAAACUGUGCACAUCUUGACGGUACCUAAUCAGAAAGCCACGGCUAACUACGUG
Molecule: ribosomal RNA, 497 nt
Filed under: uncultured bacterium
Lineage: Bacteria
Description: partial 16S ribosomal RNA
Rfam family: Bacterial small subunit ribosomal RNA
Source: RNAcentral